This 254-nucleotide ribosomal RNA is filed under the name uncultured bacterium. RNAcentral describes it as "partial 16S ribosomal RNA". It matches the Rfam family "Bacterial small subunit ribosomal RNA", at positions 524 to 776 of the family's 1533-position model. The record is from RNAcentral.
UACGUAGGUGGCAAGCGUUGUCCGGAUUUACUGGGCGUAAAGAGCGCGCAGGCGGUCGUUCAAGUCGCGUGUGAAAGCCCCCGGCUCAACUGGGGAGGGUCACGCGAUACUGAUCGACUGGAAGGCAGGAGAGGGUAGUGGAAUUCCCGGUGUAGUGGUGAAAUGCGUAGAUAUCGGGAGGAACACCAGUGGCGAAGGCGGCCCGCUGGGCUGGUGGCUGACGCUGAGGCGCGACAGCGUGGGGAGCAAACAGG